RNAcentral lists this ribosomal RNA (1227 nucleotides) under Escherichia coli. RNAcentral describes it as "partial 23S ribosomal RNA". It matches the Rfam family "Bacterial large subunit ribosomal RNA", at positions 1 to 1258 of the family's 2925-position model. Lineage: Bacteria; Pseudomonadati; Pseudomonadota; Gammaproteobacteria; Enterobacterales; Enterobacteriaceae. The record is from RNAcentral.
GGGUUGUGAGGUUAAGCGACUAAGCGUACACGGUGGAUGCCCUGGCAGUCAGAGGCGAUGAAGGACGUGCUAAUCUGCGAUAAGCGUCGGUAAGGUGAUAUGAACCGUUAUAACCGGCGAUUUCCGAAUGGGGAAACCCAGUGUGUUUCGACACACUAUCAUUAACUGAAUCCAUAGGUUAAUGAGGCGAACCGGGGGAACUGAAACAUCUAAGUACCCCGAGGAAAAGAAAUCAACCGAGAUUCCCCCAGUAGCGGCGAGCGAACGGGGAGGAGCCCAGAGCCUGAAUCAGUGUGUGUGUUAGUGGAAGCGUCUGGAAAGGCGCGCGAUACAGGGUGACAGCCCCGUACACAAAAAUGCACAUGCUGUGAGCUCGAUGAGUAGGGCGGGACACGUGGUAUCCUGUCUGAAUAUGGGGGGACCAUCCUCCAAGGCUAAAUACUCCUGACUGACCGAUAGUGAACCAGUACCGUGAGGGAAAGGCGAAAAGAACCCCGGCGAGGGGAGUGAAAAAGAACCUGAAACCGUGUACGUACAAGCAGUGGGAGCAUGCUUAGGCGUGUGACUGCGUACCUUUUGUAUAAUGGGUCAGCGACUUAUAUUCUGUAGCAAGGUUAACCGAAUAGGGGAGCCGAAGGGAAACCGAGUCUUAACUGGGCGUUAAGUUGCAGGGUAUAGACCCGAAACCCGGUGAUCUAGCCAUGGGCAGGUUGAAGGUUGGGUAACACUAACUGGAGGACCGAACCGACUAAUGUUGAAAAAUUAGCGGAUGACUUGUGGCUGGGGGUGAAAGGCCAAUCAAACCGGGAGAUAGCUGGUUCUCCCCGAAAGCUAUUUAGGUAGCGCCUCGUGAACUCAUCUCCGGGGGUAGAGCACUGUUUCGGCAAGGGGGUCAUCCCGACUUACCAACCCGAUGCAAACUGCGAAUACCGGAGAAUGUUAUCACGGGAGACACACGGCGGGUGCUAACGUCCGUCGUGAAGAGGGAAACAACCCAGACCGCCAGCUAAGGUCCCAAAGUCAUGGUUAAGUGGGAAACGAUGUGGGAAGGCCCAGACAGCCAGGAUGUUGGCUUAGAAGCAGCCAUCAUUUAAAGAAAGCGUAAUAGCUCACUGGUCGAGUCGGCCUGCGCGGAAGAUGUAACGGGGCUAAACCAUGCACCGAAGCUGCGGCAGCGACGCUUAUGCGUUGUUGGGUAGGGGAGCGUUCUGUAAGCCUGUGAAGGUG